AAAGGUCAAAGUAGAAACUUUAGGACUUGCCCUUGAUGCAGCGUAUGAGGGCCAGCGCAGUGGGGCUAGGAGGGCACACUAUGAGAUAGGAGAGCCUAGUCGAUCCGUUCGACGUAGAGUCCUGCAGUAGUUGCUUCCCUAGGAGCCUGUGCAGGUGACCUGGCAGGGCCACCAGUGGUGAUGAUGUGAUGGCCCAGUUGUAAAUAGAUG
This 210-nucleotide long non-coding RNA is filed under the name Panax ginseng (ginseng). Its description in RNAcentral is "long non-coding RNA (PGIN_LNC001896)". Lineage: Eukaryota; Viridiplantae; Streptophyta; Magnoliopsida; Apiales; Araliaceae. The record is from RNAcentral.